RNAcentral lists this unclassified non-coding RNA (341 nucleotides) under soil metagenome. RNAcentral describes it as "partial contains 5.8S ribosomal RNA, internal transcribed spacer 2, and large subunit ribosomal RNA". The stretch from base 1 to 120 matches the Rfam family "5.8S ribosomal RNA", at positions 35 to 154 of the family's 154-position model. The record is from RNAcentral.
GAUGAAGAACGUAGCGAAAUGCGAUAAGUAGUGUGAAUUGCAGAAUUCAGUGAAUCAUCGAAUCUUUGAACGCACAUUGCGCCCUUUGGUAUUCCAAAGGGCAUGCCUGUUCGAGCGUCAUUUGUACCCUCAAGCUUUGCUUGGUGUUGGGCGUCUUGUCUCUAGCUUUGCAGGAGACUCGCCUUAAAGUAAUUGGCAGCCGGCCUACUGGUUUCGGAGCGCAGCACAAGUCGCACUCUCUAUCAGCAAAGGUCUAGCAUCCAUUAAGCCUUUUUUUCAACUUUUGACCUCGGAUCAGGUAGGGAUACCCGCUGAACUUAAGCAUAUCAAUAAGCGGAGGA